RNAcentral lists this long non-coding RNA (1684 nucleotides) under Arabidopsis lyrata. RNAcentral's name for it is "long non-coding RNA (ALYR_LNC001435)". The record is from RNAcentral. Lineage: Eukaryota; Viridiplantae; Streptophyta; Magnoliopsida; Brassicales; Brassicaceae.
AAGAACACGAGCGACUUGCAGGUAUACAAGCUACUUGGCAAUAUGUUUUGCUUCUCCUCAUAAUGAGAACUAUAAAUCUUCAGCUCACGUAUGUAGCGAGAAACAACUACUAAAACCCACAUUUUGAUAGCUUCAGGUUUUCUAAUUUGAAUCACUUAACACAAGACGGAAGCUUUCUAUAACCGGAGCUCUAUGUAAUGGCAGAUUUCUAUCAAGAAAACACUGUAAACUCUUGAAAUCAGACUCUGAAUAAUGUUUAUUACCAAACUCAAGUUUUACAAGGACUGCAACAAUUGUAUCUGAUGCAUGUUUGGUUUCAGAACUCGAGAUGAUAAAGGAGUUGACACGUUCUUCCCGAGCUUCAACAACAUGCGAGCUUAACUUUUAAUGAGGUUUUGAAUCAUUAGAUGUUUUCAUUGAUAUAAUAGGAUUCUAAGUUCCAUCAGGAAAUGAAUGUCUUGUUCUUUUACUCUCCUGCUUGUAUGGUUUCUCUUCCAUCUCUGAAAACUUUAUUUGGAUGUAAACCGCAAUAUCUCUGUCUUGUGGUCUUCCUAAGUAUUGUGCCCAAGUGAUAUUUUGUAGACUCGACAACAUGCAUUCAGGAACAGUACUCGGUUGAUUCCAGGAAAGCAUAUCAACAUUCUCAUAAUUCUGAGAUUAAGGAGAAGAAUCAGAUUGAAAAUAAAAAAAAAAAAUCAUGUGCAAUAGAUAAAAAAUAAUAGUUAAUAGAAGGAACCUUACAUCGGUUUGGGAGGAGAGUAUUAGUUCUCGUAAGUUAGGAGUGUCUUUGAGGAACUGGACAAGGAGAUGCGAUGAAUACUCUUUCCAUACAUAUAUCGUCAGAUGCUCAAGGUGGUUGAAGAUAAAACCGUCACCAUUCGCAACCUGCGGACGAUAAAAAAAAUAAAUUAACAGAGACUUUUAUAAAUAAGAUUAACGACUUGAAGUUUAGAGAUUGAAACUGAUUACCUUAGAGCAUAUUGUAAGCUUCUUGACAGAUGUGAUUGAUCCUAGGAGACUCUUGAUAUCAGCGAAUGUAACAUCGACAUAUGCUUCCGUCAGCUUAGGCAUAUUCGCAAUCAAAAAAGGGUGACUAUCAUAAUUAAGAUCCACAAGUUUGAUAAUACUCUAAAGAAGGAGUAUCUAUGACAAACUCAUCUAAAUCACAAUGAUAACCUAUAUAGAGUGAUAAACAUCGCAAAGAUGGGACAAUAACAGUGAACUUUCCCAUAAUGUCAUGACGAUGAAGUAAAUGCACAACUAGAUUUUCAAGAACAGGGCAAGUAGAUAGAAGCCGCUGAAGAUAUCCUUCUUUGAAGUAGCACCCACCUUUGAGUACCAAAGUUUUCAAAGAGGGAAGACAAACCAUUCGAGGAACAUCCAAGAGAAUCCUGCCAUCGAGUUUCAAGAACACGAGCGACUUGCAGGUAUACAAGCUACUUGGCAAUAUGUUUUGCUUCUCCUGAUGACGAGAAAUAUAAAUCUUCAGCUCACGUACAUAGCGAGAAAGAACUACUACAACCCACAUUCUGAUAUCUUCAGGUUUCAAUACUGACUCACUUAGCUUAAGACGGAAGCUUUCUAUAACCGGAGCUCUAUGUAACGGCAGAUUUCUAUUAAGAAAACACUGUAAACUCUUGCAUUCAGGUUCUGAAUAAUAUCUAUCACAGUAAUCAAGUUUUGU